RNAcentral lists this ribosomal RNA (1445 nucleotides) under metagenome. Its description in RNAcentral is "bacterial LSU rRNA". It matches the Rfam family "Bacterial large subunit ribosomal RNA", at positions 1500 to 2925 of the family's 2925-position model. The record is from RNAcentral.
GGGAUUGAGGUGUAAGCGUGCAAGUGGUGGAGUUGGCAAAUCCGCUCCACAUACACUGAGGCGUGAAUGCGAGGAGAUUUAUCUCCGGAAGUGAUCUGAGCCAUGGUUCCAAGAAAAGCUUCGACGUGUUUUCAAAGGCGCUCGUACCGUAAACCGACUCAGGUGAGUGGGAUGAACAUUCUCAGGCGAUUGGGUUAAUUUUGGUUAAGGAACUCGGCAACUUAACACCGUAACUUCGGAAAAAGGUGUGCCAUCAGAAGCGAAACCCCUCGCGGGCGUAGUGGAAGGUGGUCGCAGAGAAAUGGGAGUAGCGACUGUUUAUCAAAAACACAGGCAUGUGCUAAGUCACAAGACGAUGUAUACGUGCUGACGCCUGCCCGGUGCUGGAAGGUUAAGAGGAUUUGUCAGUCGCAAGACGAAGCGAAGAAUCGGAGCCCCAGUAAACGGCGGCCGUAACAAUAACGGUCCUAAGGUAGCGAAAUUCCUUGUCGGGUAAGUUCCGACCUGCACGAAUGGCGUAACGACUUCUCCGGUGUCUCAACCAAAUGCCCAGCGAAAUUGAAUUCUCGGUGCAAAUGCCGGGUACCCGCAGAAAGACGGAAAGACCCCGUGAACCUUUACUCUAGCUUGGCAGUGAUCUUAGAGCUUGUAUGUGUAGUUUAGGUGGAAGCCUUUGAAAUCGGGACGCUAGUUCCGGUGGAGGCGAAGUGUGAAAUACCACCCUUAUUGGCUUUGAGAUCUACCUGCGCUCUAUAUCAGGGCGAGGGACACUGUCUGGUGGGGAGUUUGACUGGGGCGGUCGCCUCCAAAAAUGUAACGGAGGCGUACGAAGGUCACCUCAGCCUGAUUGGAAACCAGGCGGUGAGUGCAUUGGCAUAAGGUGGCUUAACUGCAAGACAAACAAGUCGAACAGAUGCGAAAGCAGGUCAAAGUGAUCCGGUGGUCCCGCGUGGAAGGGCCAUCGCUCAACGGAUAAAAGGUACUCCGGGGAUAACAGGCUGAUUCCGCCCAAGAGUUCACAUCGACGGCGGAGUUUGGCACCUCGAUGUCGGCUCAUCUCAUCCUGGGGCUGGAGCAGGUCCCAAGGGUAUGGCUGUUCGCCAUUUAAAGAGGUACGCGAGCUGGGUUCAGAACGUCGUGAGACAGUUCGGUCCUUAUCUUCUGUGGGCGUAGGAAAAUUGAGUAGAGCUGUCCUUAGUACGAGAGGACCGGGACGGACGAACCUCUGGUGUUCCUGUUGUCGCGCCAGCGGCAUCGCAGGGUAGCUAUGUUCGGAAUGGAUAACCGCUGAAAGCAUCUAAGCGGGAAGCCAACUACAAGAUUAGUUUUCCCUGGGGCUUCGGCCCCCUAAAAAUUCCUUCUAGACUAGGAGGUUGAUAGGUAACAGGUGUAAGCACAGCAAUGUGUUCAGCCAAGUUAUACUAAUAAAUUGUGAGGCUUUGUAA